UAUCUCCUUUCCCUCACACCUCCACAACCGGAUAGCCUCUCUCUCUCCCCUUCUCAUUUCUUGGUGCGACACCUCCAUGAAUAGCUAAUGUUGAAGACGGCAGCUCCUUCCUUUGAAAAUUGAAGCCCACACGUUCCUCUUUCUUUACCGAUUCUGCCAGCCACACGCCAACCCCCACUCCCCGUUGGUCCCCUUCGGUCAGAGCCUUCCUCGAUGGCCUCGUUUGUUGACUGAGCAGCACCCCUGAAUCUCGAAGACUGAAGCUGCCCAUUUUCAGCGUCGCACGCCAGCAUCUCCAGCGAAGACCACUCAUCUUCGGUCUUCCUUCGUGCCUUCAAAUCAGUUCACCGAAGGCAGCAUCAACCGGUCAACUGACCGAAUACCACACGACCAGCUGCCCCGAUGAUUUCCACGAAGCCAGUGAUUGAUCACCCUUCGCAACUUCUCUCUCUAUCUCUUGCGGAUCGUCCCCAACAGCGUCCCAGUUCGGCCACGAAUCCGCACGCCCCUGCUCCACCGCUUCUUGCCGUUUGUUGACUGAAGACCUUCAACCCUCCACGCGUCCGAGUCUGUUCUUGGCUCGGUCAACAGCGGCAGCAACCGAAGCUGCUUGGUUGACCGCAAAAGCCCCACCCGUGCAUAGAUCCGUCGCCAGCAGCUGCUUCUCACGUUCCCUCUCUAGCGCCAUCACCGACGCUGCUUCAGUCUUCUUGUUCGGGGCCCAGCUCGUGCAAGCAGCUCCUUUGGGCCACUGAAACCAGCAGUCCAACGAAGCUUCUGCACAAGCCCCGCAAGUCAGCCCAGUCGAAUCUCACCAGUAGCAGCCCAUCAGCAGAAUUUUAUUGAGGCCCAUCUCCUGCAGUCUUCAAGCCCAGUCCAAUCCAAGUGAAUUAAUUGGUCAAGCCCAUUUCAGCAGGCCCAACCCAACUUGGGUCUGGCCCAAAAGCAAGAACAAAUCUCAGUUGGGCUGAGAUUUGUUGGGGCCAAGUCCAAGGCCCGGUCCAAGCCCACCGGUGUUGUCGAAAAUCUGAUUUCGGCUGCCGUCGUGUCGCCGUUGCGGUGAUUCGAUCUCCGCUUUUGUCAAGUGAGUUUUAGUCACUAAAGCUUUCUUAGUUUGCUAAUUAUACUUAAGGUUGGUUAGAUUUAAUUAAAUGCAAUUAGGUGGUUAGAUUAGUUUAGAUCAAUUAAAUUAGAGACUUAAUGAUGCAUGUUAGGUGGUUAGAAAUAGACAUUAGCAAGUAAACAUGCCAUGUUAUUUAUGGAGCGAGUCUCGGUAAUUUUUCGGGCUUGUCUCGGUAUCCAAUUCGGCAUUAUGAGCCUAAAUUGGAUUUUUAUAAUUAUUUAUUUAAUUUUCGAAAUUAAUUAUUUAAUUAUUUAUUUUUCCAGAAAUUCAACCGGGAUGGCCGGUGACCGGAAUUUCGUGCUGAUUGUCGUGGUGCAGUCCGUUUAUUUAUUUGAGCUUUAUUUGGUGCUAAAGUAAUUUAUGAGUGAAUUUAAGAUUUAUUCCUAAAUUGAAUCUGGAGAGGGUCGGGUGGGACCGUAAAGCCAUUAGUUCUUGAGAGGGUCGGGUGGGACCGUAAAGCCACUAGUUCUUGAAAGGGUCCGACUGACACGAAAUCGACUAGGUCGAUUCGAUCGAUGCUUCGAUCGGUGAUGUGAUUGUUUGAAUGCCUAUUGAACUGUACUAAUAUGCAGAUAGAAUCUGAGCCCAAGGUAAGUCAUCCAACUCGUGCCCUGUUUAGGCAGCCUAUAGUGUAUUGGCUUUCUAAUCGAGUCUUAGGGGGUAGGACUCGCUGAGACGUGGUCUCAUUGGUUAUUGAAUAACCAUUUCAGGACCCUGAGGAGAAGCUAAGGAAGAGGAACCUGAAGGGGAGAAAGACUUUUGAAGAAGAAGAUGAUCCAGAGAAGGAUCUUGAAUAUAACCCGGAUGUGGACUGAGAUCCCAUCCCUUUUGUAAACCCUGUCUUAGCAUAGAUAGGUGUGAGACAAGUAUGUUGUGAAUAGUAUUGUAAAUAUACUAUGCGUUGUGCUGUUAAUGAAAGUGUGGUUAUGAAUUUCAAUAUGAAAAAUAUGGCCUACUUUCCUAUCCCAUUGUUUUAUUGUCUGGGGAUUUAUAACUGCUUCCGCAUGUGCUUAAUAAAAAGAAAAGGUCGGCGAUACAUAGUCUUGGGAUAUCGCAUUCUAAAAUCGACCAAGUAGAAGGAUGUGCACGAGUCCGAGGAUCGGGGCGUGACAAUAGCUCACCAGAAGCUGCCGCAAUAUAUAUGUAUAUCAUAAUUGCUCGCCUAAGCGGAUACAUACAUACAUAUAUAUAUAUAUAUAUAUAUAUAUAUAUAUAUAUAUAUAUAAACCAAUGCUUGCCAAAGCUUAUCAUUCAAUAAUAAACCAUAGAACUGGAUAUUCAAUCCAAUAAUAACCAACGGUUCAAACUAGUCAUACAAACCAAUUACGGUGCUAAAAGCCAACACUGGGUAUUUUCAAGUUAAAUACCACAACUUCAUCAAUAUCACUCAAUGCCACACUUUUGGAAUAAUUAACUAUAAUCAUCAAUCACUCAAUUUCUCAAUUUAAACAUACAAUUAACACAAACCGACCGCACUGCUGCGAUCAUCGCGAAAUUCUAACAACCGGCCAUCCCGGCAUAAUUUUCGAAAUUAUUAAAUAACUAAAUUUAAUUCCGAAAAUUAAAUAAUUAAAUAUUAUAUUAUAAUAAUAUAAUUUAAUAAAAUAAUAUUUAAAAAUUCGAAAUAAUGAAUUAAUUAAAAAUAAUUGAUUAGAGCUUAAACAAGAUUAUGCUAAAUUAAACAUACAAUUAGCCUUAAUUAAAAAUCCAUUAAAAUAAUCAUACAACUAAUCUAAAUUACAUUAAAAUAAUCUAAUUUAAUCACAUAAACCUAAUUAGACUAAUCUAAACAUCCUUUAAGCGUCAUUAACUCACUAAGCAAGAAUUAGAGGAUAAACUCACCGGUUUUGCUCGCUGGUGAGUUCACGGCGACCCCGACACCAAGGCGGUCGAUAAACCCCAAAGCGGCGACACCAACGGAGGCCGGGAAGACACUGCAAACGGGCAUCGAAGUCUGGAACUUCUUGUUGUCUACUGCUUCUGAUUUGGGCUGAACUGCAGAGAAGAAACCAGCAACUUCAACGGUGAAAACGGGUCGAUCGGAGCUCCGGCGAGCGGGUGGUUGGCAACCAGCGGCUCCAGGGGGUCAAAGGGAUCUUGCUGGUGGUUGGUAUGGCUGGAGGUAGGGUAGAAAUGGGGAGAAAAUGGCUGAAAAUCGCGAAACAGGCGAAACAGGCGGAACCAGGCGAGUCCAGACGGUCUGACGAGCAGCGACUUCAGGCGGCCGUACGGGACAGCCGGAGAAUCGUUCCGGUGAGCGGUGAGGUGCUCCGGAACGGGCUGGAUGUCGUCUUUGCGGCGAUGGGUGGCUCGUUCGCUAAUUCAACUGGGAAGUUAACUUUUUACUCGGAUCUUUGGCGAAAGGUUGCUGGAGCAGAAAUUGGAACGAGGGGAAAACAAGGGAGGAAAACGGCCGACGAUGGCCUUCCGGGUGUGCGACGAUGGAGGGGCUGGUGAGCUCGGUUCCUCUGAUUUUUGCUGAGCUUCUCUCCUUCAACAACAAUGGAGAAAGCCUUGGAUUAAGGGAGAAGAAGCUGCCGAAGAGUGGGGGGUCUCCUUGGGCUCUCUAAAGCUCAACACUUGCCAUCUUCUCAUUGGCUUUGCCCCCACCAUGACACCACAUGACCUUAGCCACUCUCUCUGCUCCAAUCUUCCUCUACAAGCUUGGCAAUAGGUGCAAAAUGUGGUGUGCCAUGGAAGCUAUGAAUUUUGGACAUUCCCUCAUUCAAUCCAUUCAAUUCUCUCUCAAUUCCAUCCAAUUGAAGCUCAAUUAAAUCAACACAUGUGUCCUCGGCCUUCUCAUGACAUUUCCCUGUCAAAUGAUCCAACUUGCAUCCCGAAGAUUCAAUUAAAAACGGCCCUCUGACAAUCUCGAACAAAUAUGACAUUACUUUACUUUUCUACCAAAAAUCUCGGUUUGUAGAAAAAAUCUUCUGGAGAUGAGUCGACAUUCCUAAAAUGAAUUGUGACUUGACAGAACUUCCAAUUUCUGUAAUCGGGUUCAAUUUUACGGUUAAAUUCAAUCUGGCACGACUUUAGUGCGUCCUAAUCUACCGGGUAGCUUUUAGGAAUUUUCUGUGCAAUUGACAUGUGGUUGAUUAGUUUCAAGCCACAAAAUGCAUCUUCGACACAUUGACGACUCUCGAUUGUUGUAGAAAUCUCGAGGUUUCAAAUACGGACACAGGGUACCAAAACGAUAGAGAAAUCGGUCUAGUGCCGAUCAACAAGAAUUGUGCAAUUAGGUGGAAUCACCCACACUGAAUUACAUGAUUCUGUGAAUCGACCUAUCUCCGGUCUCUAUCGGUUUGUGCCGUAAUGACCCUUGCAGAUUAGUACGGUCGAGCAGGCGUUUACUAGUCGAAUUCUCAAGUCUAUUGCGUUUAGAUUCCUUAACGGCUUCACUGAUAGACUAGUUAUCUCGUGAGUGGCCAACUCAGAGAAGAAAGCUAUAGACGCGAAGAUGAAAUUCCCGACUUAUUUAAUUGAAACCAGAAUUGGAAAAUCGAGAUGUCACACCUCAAGCCCCGCCAUCCUUGCCAUGGCAUGCGCCGACCCGAGACCCAUCUGCUGUGCCGAGCCUCAUCCACAAGGUAUUCCCGGUCAUCUGUCAAGCCAAUUCCGUUGAGCUCGAAUGUGGCAAUAAUUCUUGCAAUAUUAGGUAAUUAUUUUAUCCAAAUUUGAUUUCAGUAUUUUAUUGCCUAAUAUGUGUCUAUUAAUAUCUAGUGUUCAUAUCCAUGCGCGAUAGACAUAACUUUCAAUUAUGAUUUAUUUCCUAAUUCACAACCGCAUAUAAUCUUUGAUUCCACCUAUAAGGCUUUAGACGGAAUUAUUGAUCACGCGGGAAUAAAAUUGAUAUCUUGAUCUUUAAGAUCAAUUUAUCGAUUUUAUUAGCGAAACAAUCAGGUUUGAUUAGAUAUCGUUUCCAAACUCGAACAAUGGAUAAUAUCUUUGAUGACCAUGGAUGAUUUGGUAUUUAUCUUUUAGUUUCUUUAUUUAUUCCAAAAAUACAAAAAAAAAAAAAACUGCAUUUGCAUAUCAUCUAGAUUAGAAUUGAUUUCCUAGAUAGAAUUACAUGAUGGAAUAGUUAGAUUCUUCUUUAAAUGCAUGUUUAGAUGGUAUCUAGGUUAGAUAAUUUCUUUGAAUCAAAUUGCAUGCUGAGAUAAACUUCCAAGUUAAGAUAGGAUUCAGAUUAGUCUAUUUCCUAACUUAAAAUAGAUAAUAUUUCACUUUAAUUAGAUUUUUAUUUUUAGCAAUUUUUAAUUUCGAAUUUUAAUUAAAAAAAAUCAUCAUGCAUAUGUCAUGUAGAAUUAGGGCAUCCUUUGUACUUCAUUGCACGUUAGGAUAAUUUUAAGUUUAGAUUGAUUUAGAUAGAUUGCAUCUUAGGUUAGAGAUUGUUAAGUUAAGAUAAUAUCUUGGUUUAAAUUAGGGUUUAGCCUGACCUAAUCCUUAAUAUAAGUUGGAUAGAAUCUUAAUUUAGCUAGAUAAUUUUCACAUUUUUCUAAUUUCGAAAAUUCAUGGAAAAUACCAAAAAUUAUCUUAGAAUAAAUCAAUUUCAUUCUUUAGAACAGACUGCAUUUUAUUUAUGUCAUGUAGUUUAAGCCAUAUUACCAUGUCAUAUUAUUUCAUGUUAGAUUAGUAUCAUGCAUUGCAUAUUGCAUGAUUUUCAUUAAUCAAGUGAAAACAAAAAAAGAAAUUGCGUGUUAAUUAGAAAUCAUAUUUAGGGUUGUUGAUGUGGAUUCUAAUUUAACAUUGUAGAUGCUUUGGUUGCUUUGAGGUAAGUUUUGCAAUUUAUUCAUUGUUUAUCUGGGUGUUAAAUUGGUGGUUUGUGCACCCGUAUGAUCACCUUACAUGUUAGGGAAAUAGAUUUAAAAUUAAUUUAAGUUGCCUGCAAAAACAUUUUUUGAAAUAAAAGAAUGGUACCGAAAUGGCAUUAGAGAAAUCUAGUAUACCGAAAGGGCAUUAGAGAAAUCUAGUGUAACCAUAUCCCCGUACCCAUAAUCUCUGGUUCGUAGGAAUAAAGUAAAACUCCCAUUACUUUAUUUGGAUUUCUAAUAGACCCACCAAAAGUAGAUUAGUGGCGAAUCUUAAUCGAAAAAUCUUUUGCAUGUUAGAUAUUUGAACUUAAGUCGCGAAUUGAUAUGGGCUUGUGAGGGCCCGAGCUAAGUUAGACUUAGUAGUUCAUUAGCCAAACCCCGAAAAUUUGGUCGCGACAAGUAUGCAGAGGGAACAAAGGGGCAAUAUUAGAUGAAAAACUGCUCUCAUGGAGAAGAGAACAGCCAUUGCAAAAAGGCCAGAAUUCUCCGAGUCAGCUAGGGAUGAGAUUGAGCCAAUGGGGGGGGGGGGGGGGGGUGGUGGAAGCGUCACAUUGCAUUAUCGUCCAGUUUUCGGCAAUCUUUUUUUUUUCCCACUUGAAUUAGCAGUAGCUGACACGUGAAUCAGCAACAAAUCUUCGUUAUGUAUCAGAUCUUUGAUGAAGUUUUUUCAAAAUGUUGGUGUUGAAAUUUGUACCGUGCACCUAAGAGAGAAAUGUUAUGUUUUCAUGUUAUAUGAUUGGGAUCAUAUUACAUAAACUUUUUGACAAUGAGAUGAUAGCCUUAGAAUUAGGACAUCAUAUCUGUAAUAGUUGUAACAUUGCAGAAGGGUUCAGGAGAGAGGGCAGUGAUCCCUCAAGGGUUUUUACCAGUGUAGACUCUCCAACAUAGGGUUCAAAUUUCUGGAGCAUCCAAGCCAAGUUGAGGUGAUCUUGGAUCUCUACCUCAUCAUGCCCCCAGGAGGGACUGGAGCCAUUGGGAUUCCUCUGUUCUGCCUUUUCAUGUUCAUAUACCAUCCUAAACAUGAUCACGAAAAAAGAAGUUUAGGAAUGAAAUCAUCGGUCCCUUUUUUGCUAAUAAUCUCCAUCAUCGGAAGAACCCUGUUUAGUUUGCGGCAUUACUAUGAUAUACGGCAUUACUUUAAUACAAUGCUCAUAAUUUAGGACUAUUUACUGUAUGAUAAUUGAUUGUAUCCAAUUGUUCUGGAAAUCGGCAUUUCCAGGGGAACAUCAUUUCGUGUAGGUUGAUCAAAAGGAGGAGAUUUAUGCCUACCAAUGGACAUGUCGAAUCCGCGCUUUUCGAGCUCACAGUACUCCUGGGUUAAAGCACAGAUCCGCAGCAGAAAUGGACUAAGCAAUCGGCGCAAGGAUUCUCUUGCAGCUGGUAUUGCUGUCUCAUCUUGGUGCGGUAGAAGCAGGAGUAGCAGCAAGCGCACCCGGUCAACAAGGCGAUCACUGUGUAAAUAGCUCCGUGCACAGGGCAUGCUGCAACAAAAACCAAUCCGAGUGAGCAAGUCUAAUAAUGUCGAUCCUUCUUCAAUUCGUGCGAAUGUGAUUGAUUCUUCUUACAAUCUGAUCCCCGUGAUCAGCAAUCUCCGCGAUUUGCCCGAAUGUGAUGUAGGGGCACCAAAAUGACAAGCAACCUGUGAGAUUAACAAGAUAUCAACCUUCAUGAGCCAUAGAUAACACGAAUUUAUCUCUGGAUCCACUUAAACUCAACUAAUACCAAAGUGGUAUAAGAUCAUUCAAUUGCUAAAUUCUGAUAACCCCACGACACUAGGCAAUUGCAAUUGGAUUCUCCAGUCUAUAAACUGUCCGACUUUUGCUCGUAGAUGUCGCCCAGUAGUUGUAUACAUGGCAUAACUGUUCUAUCAAGUGUUAAUCCACCUCUAAACCAAAUGGAUUGCGAAGAAAAUUCCAGAGGACUUGCAAGUUGGAACGUCGUCGAAGCAACUGAAAAGCCCAGAGGACCAAGGCAUGUUGUUAAUGGGUCGAGCUUGAAGACCCGCGGGGGGCAGAGGAUUGUUCGGGGCCCCGAAAUUUGCAUAACUUUGGUUCAUGGGUUGCACUGGAAUGCCAUCCAUGGGUGGCGGCGGUGGCGGAGCAGAGGCACCGGGCUUCUGUGGGUAGCCAUCAGAUGCGUUCGAGGAGUACAUAGCUUCAAUCCACAACUAAAGAUACCGGCUCCAACGAUCAAAGAAGGACGACACGACACAGCGAAAGAUCGAAUGAGGAAGUGAAUCGGGCGAGGGCUAGAGAGGGUUGAAAGAUGAGAUGUUAGGUGAACUGCACAUGAUGUAUACGUCCUAUUUCUAUGCAUCUAACACUCAUAUAUUUGCGUAAAAGAGGGGUUUCGUCAGUGAAUGCUUUCACCAGAAGCGGCCGUGACCAAGCAAGUCGUUGAUCCGCCUUCGAAUCUGUUUGCUGGUCGUGGCAACGACGAAGCGCCAACUUUGACGGUUGAUGGUUAGUUGAAAAGUAAAUGCCUUGUUUAAGCUCUAAGCUAUCGUCGUGCGAUUAAACUACGUAUAGACUUAUAGUUUAGCGCGGUGGGCAACGUUGACAAUGGUGUAAAUUGAGACGAGGUCAGGCAGUUUCGUAUGUAAUUUUGUUUUUUCUAUCGUGAUUUUUUUGGACCAAGUUCAGGUUCUAAAGUUGGACGCGACUUCGCUCUCGUGACGCGACCGUCACACUUUCACACGAAUCGCGACCUCGUUUGUUUCGAGAACACCGAACGUAGUUUCGAGAGGGGUUUGUCACCUAUAAUUAGGUGCAAUGUUGUUAUCAAGACAGCACAGGGCUCAGCAGCUUUUGUUUACGUUCCUUUUGGGAUUCCGGGGUGAAAUUAGGAAGAACUCCAUGGAAGAGACGAGUUAGAGAACUCGGUCCUUUUAUUUUUUGGUUCGAAAGGAGAACUCGGUCUUAGGUGAAGGGAUAAUUGAUUCGUUUUUCCAACCGGCAAGAUUAGAUUUGUUGGAUAGUGUGGACGGGCAUUGAUUGUAUGGGGUUGUGUUUUAGUCCGUGAGAAACAAGUUGGGAUUGUUUGAGAAGAUGCUUGAUCUAGCGAGGGAGUCACGGCCUUUGGGUAGUGGUUGCCGACCCUCGCUUGGUCUCAUUUAAAAAUAAGGAAAAAAUUAUUUAAAAAUUACAAAAAUUGUUCACAUCUAUGUUGGUGAUGUCAUGUAGAAUGCUCACUAUCCAUGUUAGCAAUUUUUUUGCAAAUAUUAGCCGGAUAGACUUUAUUGGCAAAUUAUCAAAAAACUUAGAAUUAAAUUGAUCAAAAUUGAAAGGUUUAAGAUUGAAUUAGUACAUGUGUAAUACGUUUAAGAUUUUUUUUUUUAUAAUAAUUAUUCCAAUUUUCAUCACAUCGGCAAGUGCAAAUAAUGUCAAGUUGGGCUAUCCAUCGAGUUCUGACUUGUGACUUACCUUGCUGCUAAGAUUUAUGAGGUAUUAGAUGGGAUUGUUCUACUUAGGUAAAUGUCCAUUUCAUAGAAGAACAUAUAGGCUUAUUUUUUUUCCUAAUGUGAAUAUCCCUUUGUAAAUGACUAAAUUCUUGCUCACGUCGGAUGAGCUUUAAUGCAUCGACUUAUUAUGACGUGAUUGAGUGAAUUUUUUAUAAAGCCACUUUAUUCACAGGAAAAGAAAGAAAAUAAAAUAGAAUUUGUAUAAAGCCUAAUGUAUUGUGAGGAGAAUUGAGAUAGCUUAUUGCGGACUCUUUUACACAGGGUAAAUGCCCCCUUGCUUCUGACCUUGGGCACGUCCUAAUAUGUUCUCCUCCUUUCUCUUCAUUGAGCAAAAACGCGAUGCCAAAUCGUUCUGAUCGCAACAUCAAUCCAAGUAUGUAUCUAGACCCUCUAUUGUUUGGUGUUGUAAAUUCAUUUACGUGAUUUCAUAAAAUGUAUACCCUUUCCUUCUUUGAGCAGGGCAGACGACAAAACUUAUGUCGACAGAUCGAGCAUGCUACUGUUUACUUUAAAAGUGAAAAUCGCUGGAGUAUGAUGCAUAUAAUAUUUUUUUCAAUGUAAUACACCGUCUUCCCUCAUGCGAAGGGCGAUAAGAUGAUGAUGAAAGCAAUGUGCACAGAUCUGAUAUGCAUUGCCGAAACCAAGCUUAGAAUUAAUUCCUGUCAUGCUAUAUCUAUAUGAUUCGACCACUAAAAGUGGGAAAUUUGUGGAUGGAGUUAAAGAAGACAUUCGAUGCCAACGUUGAAAAUGGUCAACUCAAGGAAAAUGGACAUUGGGUCCAAGCUAUUUUUAUUUCCUAUUUACACGUAAACAAGUAAUAAUGACAAAAAUGAAAAAUGAACUUUGACCCAAUUGCAAUUUGAUCCCCUGAACUUUUAAUUAAUUCAAUGCGGUCCCUAAACUUUGGUCUAAUGUGCAAUGUGGUCCAUAAUCUUUUUAUUUGUUCAAUGCGGUCUUAGGACUUUCAAUACAUAUUCAAUAUAGUCCCUGAACUAUAUACAAAUUGUUGUCCUUCUAUUAAUUUAAGAUCAUGGACAAUGUUGAAUAUUUUCAUAUAAUUUAUGAACUAAAUUGAACAAGACCGGUUCAGAUUGUCGAUCGCAAAGAGCAAGUUCUGCGUACAAAGACUAUUCCCUUAGUCAAAGUGGUUUGGCAAUACCACGGUACAGAAGGAGCAACAUGGGAGACUGAAGAGUCAAUGAGAGAGUUGUACCCCCACCUUUUUGAUCAAGCCUUGUAAGGUCAAUCUAAUGAUAACUCAAUCAGCUUGCUAUUGUCAUGUGUGACAUCCAGGAUUUUCAGUAUUGUUUUCUAUUAAAUUAAUCGGGCAUUUCAUUGACGUGUCUAUAGGGUUGUUCUCAGAGCUGAUCACUCUCGAGAUAACUAGACUAGCUGGGUAUGCCAUUAAAGAAUAUUAAGGCAAUAGACUUGAGAAUUCGACCAGGAAGCGGCUUCUCGACCGCGUUCAUCUUUAGAGGUCAUUACUGCACAGUUAAAGAUCGAAUUGAGAUCAGAGAUAGGUCGGUUCGACUGAGAUGUGUGGCCGAUCGUGGGUGACUCCACUAAAUUGGAAAAUUCUCGUCGACCGGCACUAAUUUGAUUUUCUGUCGUUUUGGUACCCUGUGUUGGUAGUCGAGCCCUCGAGAUUUUCACGACAAUUGAGAGUCGCCAAUGUGUCGAGUGGGUUCAUUGGGGCUCGAAGAAAAUCGACCACGAGUCAAUUGCCCUAAAAAGUUCUGAAAACUACCCGGUAGUCUAGGUCACACUAAAAGCACGUCGGAGUGAAAUUAACCGUCGAUUUGAGUCAGAUUUCAGAAAUCGAAAGUUCAGUGAUGUCACAAGCUAUUUUAGGAGCAUCGACUCAGUCUCAGAAGAUUUUCGGAGAUUCGGGAAAUUUUACGGAAAUUGGGUUCGGACGUCGUGGAAAUUUGGCCGAAGUUCAGAUUGGCUAAAUUAAUGGGAAAUUUGACUUUCGGGUUGAGCCCGUGUGUGUCGGAGAUUUACAGAAAAUUUCUUGGGAUUUUUCUACGUCGAAAUUGGACCUCAAUUUGGGAAUUUAUUGGAGAAAUUGAAGUUCAAAUGGUGAAAUUCGUAUCAUCCCCUCCCCCUAGCCCAAAAUUGACCGAUUGAGAAGUUGGGAGAGUUGUUGAUGUGGCCUAAUGAAGGCCAAGGUUUAAUGCUUGGCCUAGAUUGAUUGUUGAAGAUAUUUCUUGUGGAAAAUUGGCAAGGAUGGCCCACCCUCUCUCUUAUCUUCUUCCUCACGCACGGCUCCUCUUCGUUUUUAACUCUGCGGUCUCAGCUUCUGCUUCAUUUUCUUUCGGUCGAAGUCCAGAUAAGCAAAGCCUCCUCCGCGUGUCUUCCUCAACUCCACUUCUCUGCCAUUCCACUGAAGACACAGCCCACGAUAUCUCUCUCUCCCUUCGCCCGUUUGCCCCCUCUCACGCGGCCAGCUCACCCCUGCUCCACCAUCUCUUGCUCUCUCGGUCAACUUCAGUGAAAUUCCUCUAGCGAAGUCCCCAGGUGUUGAUCGAAACUGCUGCGGUUCAUCCAUCUCCACGCGGCUUCAAAACUCCAGCCUUCGUCAAAGGCUUCAGCAACCGCCACAAGUGUUGCUUCUCUUCAUCCAUGUUCCACCGAAGCCUCUCAACCUCCACCGUUUCGGCCAGCCUCUCCACGCGUCAUCUUCGGUUAACAACAGCAGAUCUUCUCCCAAUUUUGUUGACUCCAUCAACGAAGACCACCCAUCUUCGUGUCUUCUCUCUCUCGCGGCCAGCAAAGCUGAAGCCGCGCGCAUCCAUCACCUGCGGAGCUCAACCGAUUCUUCUCCAUAGGUUCACAAGCCGCUGCCACCUGCCCUUCUUCGGUCAACAUUGCAUCCACCGAAGACCCUGAUCUCACGUCCGCAACUCCAUAUGCGGCCAGCAAAUUCCACCGAAGGAAUCCCAGAACCCCAGCGAAGCAACAGCAUCAUCGAAGCCGUGAGUCCACGGUCUUCAGCCGCAUGAGCAACCGAAAGUCCAUCCCCUGUCCGCGUGAUUUCUCUUCUUCACCCGUAGAACAGUCGGCCCAAGCUUGCAGUCUUUGAGCCCAUCAGUCCAGCAGUUCUUCAGCCAAUUUAAUUCAAGUUGCAGCCCAGUAAUUUGAGGCCCAAUUCAGCAGAAUUUUAUUGAGGCCCAUCUCCUGCAGUCUUCAAGCCCAGUCCAAUCCAAGUGAAUUAAUUGGUCAAGCCCAGUUCAGCAGCCCAUCAACUGAAAUUGGAGGCCCAAUUUCCAGCAAAGAAAUUUGAAGCCCAAGUGAAGUCAGUCCAGAAUUUCAGCAGGCCCAAUUCAACUUGGGUCUGGCCCAAAAGCAAGAACAAAUCUCAGUUGGGCUGAGAUUUGUUGGGCCAAGGUCAAGGCCCGGUCCAAGUCCGCCGGUGUCGUCGAAAGUUCGAUUUCGGUCGCCGUCGCGUCGCCGUUGCGGUGAUUCGGUCUCCGCUUUUGUCAAGUGAGUUUUACUCACUAAUGCUUUAUUAGUUUGCUAAUUAUGCCUUAGGGUUGGUUAGAUUUAAUUACAUGCACUUAGGUGGUUAGAUUAGGUUAGAACAAUUAGUUUAGUGACUUAAUGAUGCAUGUUAGGUGGUUAGACCUAGCUAUUAGCAAGUAGAAAUGUUUGGUUAUUUAUUGAAUGCAUAUCGGGAUUUUUCCCGACCCGUUUCGGGCUCCAAUAAGGCAAUAUGGGCCUAAAUUGGAUUUUUAAUGUUUAUUUAUUUAUUUUCGAAAUUUAUUUAUUUAAUUAAUUAUUUUUCCGGAAAUUCAACCGGGAUGGCCGGUGACCGGAAUUUCGUGCCGAUUGUCGUGGUGCAGACCGUUUAUUUAAUUGAGCUCUACGUUGUGUGGAAUUGAAUUUAUUGUGGAAUUUUAGGAAUUGCCCUAAAUUGUUUGUUAUUGAAUAUUUGAUUGGUUGUUGGCCGAAUAUGGGUAUAUAGCGCCAGUAUGUUGAUGGGCUAUAUAGUAGGGAGAAUGGUGAGACCAAUCAGGUACGAUAUUAUUGGACAUACGUGGUUCGGUGAUGGGAAGUAUCACUGGCGAAAACGGCGCCUUAAAGAACGCACGUAAAUGACUUAUAGACAAACGUGGUUCGGUGGUUAUGGGAAUAUCACUGGUGAAAACGGCGCCUUAAAGAACGCACGAUGUUGUCUAUAGCCGAUGUCACCUUGGCGAAAACGGCGCCCUUGAAAGGACACGUGGUUCGGUGAUCAAGGUUAUCACUGGUGAAAACGGCGCUUUAAAGAACGCACGGUGUCGGUGAUCGGUAUGUCAUUGGCGAAAACGACGCCCGAGAAACACAUGUGAUUUGGUGAAUGAGUACACCACUGGGAAAUCGUGGUAUGAGUGGGAAUGACCUAGAAAGGGUCUGGCUGACAUGUAAUCGACUUAGUCGAUUGACCAGUGCUUGAUCGGAUGUCGUGAAUUGUUUGAAUAUCUGUGUUUAACCUUGAAUUGCAGGUUGGAACUGAGGCUAAGGUAAGUCCUCUGACUCGUGUUGUGCUUAGGCAACCGUAUGGCGUAUUAGUUUAUUAAUCAAGUCUUAGUGGGUAGGACUCGCUGAGACGUGGUCUCAUUGGUUAUUGAAUAACCAUUUCAGGACCCUAAGGAGAAGCUAAGGAAGAGGAACCUGAAGGGGAGAAAGACUUUUGAAGAAGAAGAAGAUCCAGAGAGGGAUCUUGAAUAUAACCCGGAUGUGGAUUGAGAUCCCAUCCCUUUUGUGCACCCUGUCUUAGUGUAGAUAGGUGUGAGACUUUUAUCUUGUAAAUAGUAUUGUAAAUAUUCUAUGAGUGGUGCUGUUAAAGAAAGUGUGGUUAUGAAUUUCAAUAUGAAAAAUAUGGCCUGCUUUCCUAUCCCAUUGUUUUAUUGUCUGGGGAUUUAUAACUGCUUCCGCAUGUGCUUAAUAAAAAGAAAGGGUCGGCGAUACAUAGUCCUGGGAUAUCGCAUAUAAAAAUCGACCAAGUAGAAGGAUGUACGCGCGUCCGAGGAUCGGGGCGUGACAUCCCCUUUUUGUGGUAUCAGAGCGAAGGUCAAGAUUGGAGUGAUAAGGAGCGUUGACCAUGGGAUAGUUAGUAGGAAAGGCCUUUAAAUUCAUGCUGGUGCAUGUUUAUGUUAGCUGAAUGCUAAAAUUGUUUGUGGUGUGUGGAUCGCUCACCUUCUAAUCCAAUGUGGGUUUGGAAGUCGGGUUGCAGUGUAAAGACUGAACCAUGAGCGAGCAGGAGCUAAGAACUCCUAGUAAGAGGACAAUGUCCUUUGUAACUCGGGAUGAUGCACUGACUAAGGUCAGUACCCGAGGUGGCUGUGGCAGAGUAUUGACUCUGGCCAGCUCGAGUGUAAGAGUACCACCGCAGGUUGGUACUAGUGUAGCAGCGUCGAAUGAUCCUAAGUUCGAUAGGAUCGUUCUGAUGCUAGUGUUCCUUGGGAAUUGGAUGAGCCAGCAAGCUCAGGAUCAAGCCGCUGUUGUUGUCGUUAUCAUUACCGCUGUUGUCGCUGCACAUGCUGAGAUCCAGAGUGGAGAUGUAGAUGUGAUUCAAGAGCGAGUCAUUGCAUUCGAGUCGAGGUAUAGAUCCAGUUCAGGCAGAAAUGGAAAUCGGUCAGGGAAAAGACGGAGGUCGAGAGAAAAGCAUUCUAUUCCACUCUCGAGGAAGGAUGGAGUAGUCAAGUCGGCACCGAGUCAAAUAGAUCAGGUUGUUUUCGGACGUGAUGAUGGAAAUCGGCAUUAUGUCCUUCCUAGGACGCGAAUUUGUUUGGAGUAUAGUUAACAGGGAUAUCUGGUCGGGAGUGAUCCUAGCAGAAUGAUGGGUAACCAGAAAGAGUGCAUGCUUUUGCCUAAUAGAAGAUAAAAGAUGCACCAGAUAGGUGUCAGAAUUGUAGAAGGAAGUAUGGAUAAAUCUAGUGUCCGAGUAUGACCAGAACAUGUUGUGAUGAUGACUAGCAUGGCCAUCAGGUGAAGGAUUGUCAGUGGAAGUCCAAGGUAGCAUAGACAUCGCUACUGCGGCAGAACGCCACUAGGAUGGCGAAAGGAAUGGGAGUAGAAUUGAUCUUGCACCGAUUAGAGAAAGAAUGUAUUGGAGGUGAUUUUAUCAGAGUAACGUAGCAGAGUUUUGUGCUGAGUUUGUAGAACUUAAAUUGUUGAAGUAAAAGUGAAAGAGAAGGGAAUCACUAGCAAUAGUUGUGCUUGACUAGUUGCUGAGGUGUGAGUUCGACACCACAUGAAUAGUGUGAGUUCAUAAAGCAUCUUGUAAUAAGGAAUCAUGGUCAUGGAAUAAUCCAGUUUAGUCUAUUAGUUUGCAAAAAUAGCAAGAUUAUUAAGAGUCGAAAAGAAUCUUCGAUUUCAUUAAUCUCGUUGGCUAAAGACAAUCCGUUUGUUAGACGGAGGUUACCAAGAUUGAUUUGACAGCGGUAGUGGAUGUGUCAGUUAAGAAAUAGAAUGAGAAGAAGGUGGCCGUGAUACAGAAAAUUUAUAAGAUGGUUCCAAAGGAAUUGCUUGGGUUACCGCCAGAAAGAAAGAUUGAAAUUGCAAUUGAGAUAGCACCAGGAUAGAGCCGCUCUCGAAGACUUCUUACCAGCUGUUGUUGUCUAAAGUGGUAGAAUGGAAGAUGCAGAUGUGAAGAUUGAUGAAUGAGGAAUUCGUGUAUAUCGGUGCAUCACUUUUGGGAAACAUCAGUCUUGUUUGUGAGAAGAAGAAAGAUGGUUUAUUGCGAGUGUGCAUCAACUAUCGUCAACUCAAUUAGGUGAAGAUCAAGGACAAGUGUUCUUUGCCAAAGAUCAUUGAAUGGUGUGACUAGUUAUAAAGAGUAUCGAUGUUUUAAAGGUCGACUUGAGAUUAUGAAGUCGUUAGUUACGAACCAGGAAGGAGGUUGUACGAAAGACAGCUGUUCGUACUUGAUAUGGUCUUUACGAGAGUAUUGUAAGAUCGUUUGGCUUGGUGAACACUCCAGUUUCUGUCAUGGAUUUGACAAACAGAACGUUCAAUGAAUAAGUGGAUCAUCAGUUUGUGAUUGUGUUCGUUGAUGACAUCUUAGUCUAUUCGAGAAGUGAUGAAGAGCAUGAGAAUCAUCUGAGAUUAGUGCUUCAGACCUUAAGAACUCAUCACCUGUAUGCUAAGUUUAGCAAAUGCGAGUUUUGGUUGACUCGUGUCGCGUUCUUAGGUCAUGUGAUUUCCGGUGAAGGAAUCUCUGUCGACCAGAGCAAGAUAGAAGCCGUGAUCAAUUGGCAGAGACCGACAUCAGUGACAGAAAUCAGAAGUUUUCUGGGAUUGGCAGGUUAUUACAGACGGUUUGUAGAAGGUUUCUCAGCGUUAGCAUCGCCUCUAACUAAGCUCACGAAGAAAGACGAAAAGUUUAUAUGGACAGACAAGUGCGAGCGUAGUUUUCAAGAGCUGAAAGAAAAGCUGACUACCGCACCUGUGCUGAUAAUUCCAUCGGGUCCUGGAGGAUUCGAAAUCUAUAGUGAUGCGUCAUUCAAGGGGUUGGGUUGCGUGCUGAUGCAACAUGGCAGAGUUGUUGCAUACGCUUCCAGGCAGUUGAGACCUCAUGAAUUGAACUAUCCGACGCACGACUUAGAGCUCGCCGUGAUUAUCUUUGCCUUGAAGAUUUGGAGACAUUAUCUGUGUGGUGAAAAGUUUCAGAUCUUCACGGACCAUCAAAGUCUCAAGUAUUUAUUCUCUCAGAAGGAGUUGAACAUGAGACAGCGCCGAUGGAUGGAACUACUGAAAGACUACGACUGUGACAUUUUGUAUCACCCAGGAAAGGCGAACAAAGUCGCCGAUGCACUGAGUCGAAAGUCUUCAGUGGCUCAUAUACUGAUUAAGGAGUGGAACUUAAUCGAGAGAGCUCGGGAUUCGGUGUUCAAAUUUGAGGUAGGCCACCUCUCGAGUUUUAUGGCCACCCUCAGAAUUGAACCGGAUGUUCAGGUUAGAAUUAAACAACUCCAACCGACAGACCCAGAUGUACAGAGAAUUCUUCAGGAAGACGCAGAGGAAAGAAAAGCUGAUUUUCAGAUUGCUGAUGACGGAACACUAAGAUUCCAAGGAUGAUUGGUUGUACCUGAUGAUGUAGAGCUUAGAGAAGAAAUCUUAUCUGAAGCACAUCGUAGUAGUUACAGCAUUCAUCCUGGAAGCACUAAGAUGUAUCAGAAUUUGCGUCAACACUAUUGGUGGUCAGGUAUGAAGGCGGACAUCGCCAAGCAUGUGGCCAAGUGUUUGACUUGUCAGCAAGUAAAAGCCCAGCAUUGCAAGCUGGGAGGACUUUUGCAACCUCUCGCGAUCCCAGAGUGGAAAUGGGAGCAUAUCACGAUGGAUUUCGUGACUGGACUACCAAGGAGUCAGAGAGGGAAUGAUUCGAUCUGGGUGGUAGUCGAUAGAUUGACAAAGUCGGCUCACUUCAUUGCAGUUCGAAAGGACCUCAGUUUGAAUAGGCACGCAGACCUAUAUGUGCGCCAAGUGGUUCGAAUGCAUGGAGUGCCCGUUACGAUAACGUCCGAUAGAGACCCGAGAUUUACUGCUGCUUUUUGGAAGAGCUUGCAGAGUGCUCUUGGUACAAAGCUUCAGUACAGUACGGCUUAUCAUCCUCAGACGGAUGGCCAGUCCGAGAGGACAAUACAAACCCUCGAGGACAUGCUGAGAGCAUGUGUUAUAAACUUCAAAGGAAGUUGGGAAGAUCAGCUUCAUCUCGUAGAAUUUGCCUACAUCAACAGUUAUCAGCAGAGUAUUCAGAUGGCCCCAUUUGAAGCACUGUAUGGCAGAGCGUGCAGAACACCAGUGUGUUGGGAUGAAGUUGGGGAAAGAAAGAUAACAGGCCCAGAGUUGGUUCAGCAGUCAGUAGAUGCCGUAGCAGUGAUCAGAGACAGAUUAAAGACAGCGCAGAGCAGGCAGAAAAGUUAUACAGAUAAGCGUCGAAGGUCUUUGGAAUUCCAAGUUGGUGAUCACGUUUUUCUGAAGGUGUCACCAAUGAGGGGAACUUCGCGCUUUGGUAAGAAAGGCAAACUGAGUCCGAGGUACGUAGGUCCAUUUGAGAUUCUUGAGAGAAUCGGGACCUUAGCGUAUCGUCUUGCGUUGCCGCCAAGAUUGGCGCAAGUGCAUGACGUCUUUCACGUGUCGAUGUUGAGGAAGUACGAGCCUGACUCGACCCACGUACUCAAUUUUGAAGAAUUGGGCGUGGAUGACCGUGUGUCAUACGUCGAAAGACCGGUUCAGAUUGUCGAUCGCAAAGAGCAAGUUCUGCGUACAAAGACUAUUCCCUUAGUCAAAGUGGUUUGGCAAUACCACGGUACAGAAGGAGCAACAUGGGAGACUGAAGAGUCAAUGAGAGAGUUGUACCCCCACCUUUUUGAUCAAGCCUUGUAAGGUUUAAAUUUCGAGGACGAAAUUUUUAUCAGAGGGGAAGAGUUGUGACAUCCAGGAUUUUCAGUAUUGUUUUCUAUUAAAUUAAUCGGGCAUUUCAUUGACGUGUCUAUAGGGUUGUUCUCAGAGCUGAUCACUCUCGAGAUAACUAGACUAGCUGGGUAUGCCAUUAAAGAAUAUUAAGGCAAUAGACUUGAGAAUUCGACCAGGAAGCGGCUUCUCGACCGCGUUCAUCUUUAGAGGUCAUUACUGCACAGUUAAAGAUCGAAUUGAGAUCAGAGAUAGGUCGGUUCGACUGAGAUGUGUGGCCGAUCGUGGGUGACUCCACUAAAUUGGAAAAUUCUCGUCGACCGGCACUAAUUUGAUUUUCUGUCGUUUUGGUACCCUGUGUUGGUAGUCGAGCCCUCGAGAUUUUCACGACAAUUGAGAGUCGCCAAUGUGUCGAGUGGGUUCAUUGGGGCUCGAAGAAAAUCGACCACGAGUCAAUUGCCCUAAAAAGUUCUGAAAACUACCCGGUAGUCUAGGUCACACUAAAAGCACGCCGGAGUGAAAUUAACCGUCGAUUUGAGUCAGAUUUCAGAAAUCGAAAGUUCAGUGAUGUCACAAGCUAUUUUAGGAGCAUCGACUCAGUCUCAGAAGAUUUUCGGAGAUUCGGGAAAUUUUACGGAAAUUGGGUUCGGACGUCGUGGAAAUUUGGCCGAAGUUCAGAUUGGCUAAAUUAAUGGGAAAUUUGACUUUCGGGUUGAGCCCGUGUGUGUCGGAGAUUUACAGAAAAUUUCUUGGGAUUUUUCUACGUCGAAAUUGGACCUCAAUUUGGGAAUUUAUUGGAGAAAUUGAAGUUCAAAUGGUGAAAUUCGUAUCAUCCCCUCCCCCUAGCCCAAAAUUGACCGAUUGAGAAGUUGGGAGAGUUGUUGAUGUGGCCUAAUGAAGGCCAAGGUUUAAUGCUUGGCCUAGAUUGAUUGUUGAAGAUAUUUCUUGUGGAAAAUUGGCAAGGAUGGCCCACCCUCUCUCUUAUCUUCUUCCUCACGCACGGCUCCUCUUCGUUUUUAACUCUGCGGUCUCAGCUUCUGCUUCAUUUUCUUUCGGUCGAAGUCCAGAUAAGCAAAGCCUCCUCCGCGUGUCUUCCUCAACUCCACUUCUCUGCCAUUCCACUGAAGACACAGCCCACGAUAUCUCUCUCUCCCUUCGCCCGUUUGCCCCCUCUCACGCGGCCAGCUCACCCCUGCUCCACCAUCUCUUGCUCUCUCGGUCAACUUCAGUGAAAUUCCUCUAGCGAAGUCCCCAGGUGUUGAUCGAAACUGCUGCGGUUCAUCCAUCUCCACGCGGCUUCAAAACUCCAGCCUUCGUCAAAGGCUUCAGCAACCGCCACAAGUGUUGCUUCUCUUCAUCCAUGUUCCACCGAAGCCUCUCAACCUCCACCGUUUCGGCCAGCCUCUCCACGCGUCAUCUUCGGUUAACAACAGCAGAUCUUCUCCCAAUUUUGUUGACUCCAUCAACGAAGACCACCCAUCUUCGUGUCUUCUCUCUCUCGCGGCCAGCAAAGCUGAAGCCGCGCGCAUCCAUCACCUGCGGAGCUCAACCGAUUCUUCUCCAUAGGUUCACAAGCCGCUGCCACCUGCCCUUCUUCGGUCAACAUUGCAUCCACCGAAGACCCUGAUCUCACGUCCGCAACUCCAUAUGCGGCCAGCAAAUUCCACCGAAGGAAUCCCAGAACCCCAGCGAAGCAACAGCAUCAUCGAAGCCGUGAGUCCACGGUCUUCAGCCGCAUGAGCAACCGAAAGUCCAUCCCCUGUCCGCGUGAUUUCUCUUCUUCACCCGUAGAACAGUCGGCCCAAGCUUGCAGUCUUUGAGCCCAUCAGUCCAGCAGUUCUUCAGCCAAUUUAAUUCAAGUUGCAGCCCAGUAAUUUGAGGCCCAAUUCAGCAGAAUUUUAUUGAGGCCCAUCUCCUGCAGUCUUCAAGCCCAGUCCAAUCCAAGUGAAUUAAUUGGUCAAGCCCAGUUCAGCAGCCCAUCAACUGAAAUUGGAGGCCCAAUUUCCAGCAAAGAAAUUUGAAGCCCAAGUGAAGUCAGUCCAGAAUUUCAGCAGGCCCAAUUCAACUUGGGUCUGGCCCAAAAGCAAGAACAAAUCUCAGUUGGGCUGAGAUUUGUUGGGCCAAGGUCAAGGCCCGGUCCAAGUCCGCCGGUGUCGUCGAAAGUUCGAUUUCGGUCGCCGUCGCGUCGCCGUUGCGGUGAUUCGGUCUCCGCUUUUGUCAAGUGAGUUUUACUCACUAAUGCUUUAUUAGUUUGCUAAUUAUGCCUUAGGGUUGGUUAGAUUUAAUUACAUGCACUUAGGUGGUUAGAUUAGGUUAGAACAAUUAGUUUAGUGACUUAAUGAUGCAUGUUAGGUGGUUAGACCUAGCUAUUAGCAAGUAGAAAUGUUUGGUUAUUUAUUGAAUGCAUAUCGGGAUUUUUCCCGACCCGUUUCGGGCUCCAAUAAGGCAAUAUGGGCCUAAAUUGGAUUUUUAAUGUUUAUUUAUUUAUUUUCGAAAUUUAUUUAUUUAAUUAAUUAUUUUUCCGGAAAUUCAACCGGGAUGGCCGGUGACCGGAAUUUCGUGCCGAUUGUCGUGGUGCAGACCGUUUAUUUAAUUGAGCUCUACGUUGUGUGGAAUUGAAUUUAUUGUGGAAUUUUAGGAAUUGCCCUAAAUUGUUUGUUAUUGAAUAUUUGAUUGGUUGUUGGCCGAAUAUGGGUAUAUAGCGCCAGUAUGUUGAUGGGCUAUAUAGUAGGGAGAAUGGUGAGACCAAUCAGGUACGAUAUUAUUGGACAUACGUGGUUCGGUGAUGGGAAGUAUCACUGGCGAAAACGGCGCCUUAAAGAACGCACGUAAAUGACUUAUAGACAAACGUGGUUCGGUGGUUAUGGGAAUAUCACUGGUGAAAACGGCGCCUUAAAGAACGCACGAUGUUGUCUAUAGCCGAUGUCACCUUGGCGAAAACGGCGCCCUUGAAAGGACACGUGGUUCGGUGAUCAAGGUUAUCACUGGUGAAAACGGCGCUUUAAAGAACGCACGGUGUCGGUGAUCGGUAUGUCAUUGGCGAAAACGACGCCCGAGAAACACAUGUGAUUUGGUGAAUGAGUACACCACUGGGAAAUCGUGGUAUGAGUGGGAAUGACCUAGAAAGGGUCUGGCUGACAUGUAAUCGACUUAGUCGAUUGACCAGUGCUUGAUCGGAUGUCGUGAAUUGUUUGAAUAUCUGUGUUUAACCUUGAAUUGCAGGUUGGAACUGAGGCUAAGGUAAGUCCUCUGACUCGUGUUGUGCUUAGGCAACCGUAUGGCGUAUUAGUUUAUUAAUCAAGUCUUAGUGGGUAGGACUCGCUGAGACGUGGUCUCAUUGGUUAUUGAAUAACCAUUUCAGGACCCUAAGGAGAAGCUAAGGAAGAGGAACCUGAAGGGGAGAAAGACUUUUGAAGAAGAAGAAGAUCCAGAGAGGGAUCUUGAAUAUAACCCGGAUGUGGAUUGAGAUCCCAUCCCUUUUGUGCACCCUGUCUUAGUGUAGAUAGGUGUGAGACUUUUAUCUUGUAAAUAGUAUUGUAAAUAUUCUAUGAGUGGUGCUGUUAAAGAAAGUGUGGUUAUGAAUUUCAAUAUGAAAAAUAUGGCCUGCUUUCCUAUCCCAUUGUUUUAUUGUCUGGGGAUUUAUAACUGCUUCCGCAUGUGCUUAAUAAAAAGAAAG
RNAcentral lists this long non-coding RNA (22472 nucleotides) under Eucalyptus grandis. Its description in RNAcentral is "long non-coding RNA (EGRA_LNC004365)". Lineage: Eukaryota; Viridiplantae; Streptophyta; Magnoliopsida; Myrtales; Myrtaceae. The record is from RNAcentral.